UCCUGACCCUAGCCAUUCCUCCCCUCCCCUAUCUUCCUUGAUCUUUAAUUUUUCUUUCUUCUUCCAUUGUUGUUGUCAACCAUAACACCUAGUUUUAUCAUCUCUUACUUUUUAUUUUUUUCCUCAAGAUUGUGCAUCAUAUCCUUUACCAUAUUGCUAUCAUUUCUCCUCAAUUAAAUCAGCCCCAAAUCUGAAAUCUUAAACUCCUAGAUCAAUUUCAAGCAUUGCCAAGAAAGUGCUAUUGCCGUCUCUCUCAACUAGCUUGUGUGCUGACUCGAACGCCCCAAAUAAACCGUAAAGCCGAAAGACGUUCGCGCGUACAAUUUGCAUCAAAACAGUGUUCAUUUUAAGGUUUAUUAAAGAAAUCGGAAGAUUCGCUAGUAUGCUGCGAAAAAGCAUAAAAUAAGGUGUGGGUCCUAAACUCAUAAACUUGUUUGAUAAUGAUAAUUACCAUAUUAUAUUUGAUGAUUUAGCUUGCUGAUUGGGUUGGCUUAAUAGCCAAAUAAUUAAUUUUGUAAAUAGUUGAAUCAGGUACAUUUUGAACCCUAAAAGAUUAAUGUGUUAUCAAA
Long non-coding RNA from Gossypium arboreum, 569 nucleotides. RefSeq lists it as uncharacterized. The transcript has 3 exons. The record is from RefSeq and is a predicted model, not a curated record. NCBI's taxonomy places the organism in Eukaryota, Viridiplantae, Streptophyta, Magnoliopsida, Malvales, Malvaceae.